RNAcentral lists this transfer RNA (85 nucleotides) under Felis catus (domestic cat). It matches the Rfam family "tRNA". From Rfam's summary of the family: Transfer RNA (tRNA) molecules are approximately 80 nucleotides in length. Their secondary structure includes four short double-helical elements and three loops (D, anti-codon, and T loops). Lineage: Eukaryota; Metazoa; Chordata; Mammalia; Carnivora; Felidae. The record is from Rfam by way of RNAcentral.
GCCUGGAUGGCUCAGUCGGUUGAGCGUCCGACUUCAGCUCAGGUCACGAUCUCACGGUUCGUGAGUUCGAGCCCCGCGUCAGGCU